UACGGAAGGCAGCAGUGGGGAAUAUUGCACAAUGGGCGCAAGCCUGAUGCAGCCAUGCCGCGUGUAUGAAGAAGGCCUUCGGGUUGUAAAGUACUUUCAGUCGUGAGGAAGGUGUUAAGGUUAAUAACCUUAGCAAUUGACGUUAGCGACAGAAGAAGCACCGGCUAACUCCGUGCCAGCAGCCGCGGUAAUACGGAGGGUGCGAGCGUUAAUCGGAAUUACUGGGCGUAAAGGGCACGCAGGCGGUUAAUUAAGUUGGAUGUGAAUCCCCGGGCUUAACCUGGGAAUGGCAUUCAAGACUGGUUAGCUAGAGUCUUGUAGAGGGGGUAGAAUUCCAUGUGUAGCGGUGAAAUGCGUAGAGAUGUGGAGGAAUACCGGUGGCGAAGGCGGCCCCUGGACAAAGGACUGACGCUCAUGUGCGAAAGCGUGGGGAGCGAAACAGGGAUUAGAUACC
RNAcentral lists this ribosomal RNA (454 nucleotides) under uncultured bacterium. RNAcentral's name for it is "bacterial SSU rRNA". It matches the Rfam family "Bacterial small subunit ribosomal RNA", at positions 340 to 786 of the family's 1533-position model. The record is from RNAcentral.